Molecule: ribosomal RNA, 497 nt
Filed under: uncultured bacterium
Lineage: Bacteria
Description: partial 16S ribosomal RNA
Rfam family: Bacterial small subunit ribosomal RNA
Source: RNAcentral
GAUGAACGCUGGCGGCGUGCCUAAUACAUGCAAGUCGAGCGAACAGAUGAGGAUCUUGCUCCUCUGACGUUAGCGGCGGACGGGUGAGUAACACGUGGAUAACCUACCUAUAAGACUUGGAUAACUUCGGGAAACCGGAGCUAAUACCGGAUAAUAUAUUUAACCGCAUGGUUCAAUAGUGUAAGACGGUUUUGCUGUCACUUAUCGAUUGAUCCGCGCCGCAUUAGCUAGUUGGUAAGGUAACGGCUUACCAAGGCAACGAUGCGUAGCCGACCUGAGAGGGUGAACGGCCACACUGGAACUGAGACACGGUCCAGACUCCUACGGGAGGCAGCAGUAGGGAAGCUUCCGAAAUGGGCGAAAGACUGAAGGAGCAACGCCGCGUGAGUGAUGAAGGUCUGCGGAUCGUAAAACUCUGUUAUUAGGGAAGAACAAAUGUGUAAGUAACUAUGCACGUCUUGACGGUACCUAAUCAGAAAGCCACGGCUAACUACGUG